CUACGGAGGAUCCGAGCGUUAUCCGGAUUUAUUGGGUUUAAAGGGUGCGCAGGCGGCCAUUUAAGUCAGCGGUUAAAUCGUGGGGCUCAACCCCAUUCUGCCGUUGAUACUGGGUGGCUUGAUUGCGGUCGAGGUUGGCGGAAUUCGUUGUGUAGCGGUGAAAUGCAUAGAUAUGACGAAGAACACCGAUUGCGUAGGCAGCUGACCAGACCGCAAAUGACGCUCAUGCACGAAAGUGCGGGGAUCGAACAGGAUUAGAUACCCUGGUAGUCCGCACAGUAAACGAUGAAUACUUGCUUUCGGCGAUAUAAUGUCGGAGGCAAAGCGAAAGCGAUAAGUAUUCCACCUGGGGAGUACGCCGGCAACGGUGAAACUUAAAGGAAUUGACGGGG
This 392-nucleotide ribosomal RNA is filed under the name uncultured bacterium. Its description in RNAcentral is "partial 16S ribosomal RNA". It matches the Rfam family "Bacterial small subunit ribosomal RNA", at positions 523 to 918 of the family's 1533-position model. The record is from RNAcentral.